Non-coding RNA from Pelobates cultripes (western spadefoot toad), 478 nucleotides. The record is from the annotation of a GenBank genome assembly. Lineage: Eukaryota; Metazoa; Chordata; Amphibia; Anura; Pelobatidae.
CUCCAUGCUAGGUAUUGUCCUGAGGGAACCGUGGGGAAGAACUAACUAAAGUCCCGCAGGAUUGACUAGCAAUCCUGAACAUACCUCAUGGACUUCACCCUAUGUAUGUAGAUGUGAUCAACAGAUUGAUCAAAGAGGGGAUUGAAGUGUUAAACCCAACACAUUGUCUGUAUUCAUGCUGACUAUUUUGUCACAAGACAUACUUUUGAUGAAGAGUUCAUCAUACCAUCGCUUAAUUGAUUCACUACUUCAGCACAACUCUCUCCACCUGGUUUUCCCACGCUGUGUAAAAUGACAAAGAGCACUCUGAUUGGCUUAAACCCACCAAUCAGAGUGUUCUUAGCCUAAUUGCAGGGCGGGGCAAGGCUUUAUAAGCCUUCCCCCGCCCUGCGGAGCUCAGUCUGCGCGGAGCCCUCCAUGGCAGCUGACUGCUGCCGAUCAAGCUAGCCAACGAUAUUUUUUGUCGGGUUCAUCUGUG